Molecule: long non-coding RNA, 1099 nt
Filed under: Monodelphis domestica (gray short-tailed opossum)
Lineage: Eukaryota; Metazoa; Chordata; Mammalia; Didelphimorphia; Didelphidae
Description: lncRNA (ENSMODG00000049885.1)
Source: RNAcentral
GUCCAUGAACUUCCUUGGCCCUCUGCAUAACUUACUCAUUCUUCCAGAAAUAGGCCAGUCUGGAGGGGCAGUUUGCUGUGUGCUCAGAGUACAUUCAAGGUAGAAAGAGAGAAACUCAUGCUAAGCAGUAGAUAGCCCUUCCCAUCAACUGGGGAAUUGUGGCAUGGGAGGUAAUGACCUAUUAUGGCAUCAUAAGACAUACCAAAUACGAGAAAUUCAGAGAACUAUGGAAAUAUGUGUGAAUGGAUAUGGAAUGACAUAAGCAGAACCAGGGAAACAAUCUAGACAUUUGGCUAGAAUUAGAAACAAAAAGAGCCCCAAGAUACAGAAAGCACUAUGUAAUUGUAAUGACACAUCAUGAACUGAGAGAAAAAAAUGAGAAAAGGGACCCUACCCUGCUUCCUAUGAUCGCGAAAGAUGAGAUUUGGAAAGCACCUCUCUAGGCCCACUUCUACAGGAAAUAACUUAGAGGCAAGUGGUUAUUCAUCCUCCUUUUGAAGACCUUCAAGGAGGAGGAACUCUCCACUUCUCAAGGCAAUCCAUUCUACUCUUGAACAGCUCUAACGCAAUUUUUCUAGAGUCGGUGUCUGGCUUUCCAUUCCUGGAGGAGGUUAUAUAUCUACAUUUGAGUUCAUGUCUCCACAAUAAAUGUAGAAGGAAGAGACAAAGUCCUGCAAAGUUGGGUUUUGUCCUCUCCACAUUGGGACUUUACAGAACAGCUUUGACUUUAUCUGAUGCUCCAUCAGCCUUCUGGCUCCUGCUGACUGAGCCUGGGACAACACUUCUCACUUCCCACUCGUCAUUGUAAAUAUAAAAGUCUCCAUGUACAGAGAGUGACUGUCAUUCAUGCCACCAACAUUCUUCCAGCAGGUGCUGGGACAAGUUCAAUGGAAAGCUCACGGCCCAAGCUAGGGUUCUUUCUUUGUUGGGAGACUGAGGCUGUUUGCAUCUGGGUUAGGACAGCUGAGGAAGUGAGCAUCAGGCCAAGCUGGGCUGAGCUGGGCUGCACUAAGACCUAUCAGGGAGAGCAGAGUGCGUAGGUGGCCAGCUCAGCUGCUUGCCUGCCUCUCAGGAAGAACAAUUGAACUGUCACCCGGUG